Small nuclear RNA from Choloepus didactylus (southern two-toed sloth), 107 nucleotides. The record is from RefSeq and is a predicted model, not a curated record. Lineage: Eukaryota; Metazoa; Chordata; Mammalia; Pilosa; Megalonychidae.
CUGCUCACUUCAGCAGCACAUAUACUAAUAUUGGAAAGAUACAGAGAAGAUUAGUAUGACCCCUGCACAAGGCUGACAUGCAAAUUCAUGAACUGUUCCAUAUUUUU